CUCGUAGGCGGCCAACUAAGUCAGACGUGAAAUCCCUCGGCUUAACCGGGGAACUGCGUCUGAUACUGGAUGGCUUGAGGUUGGGAGAGGGAUGCGGAAUUCCAGGUGUAGCGGUGAAAUGCGUAGAUAUCUGGAGGAACACCGGUGGCGAAGGCGGCAUCCUGGACCAAAUCUGACGCUGAGGAGCGAAAGCCAGGGGAUAAACG
This 206-nucleotide ribosomal RNA is filed under the name uncultured bacterium. RNAcentral's name for it is "partial 16S ribosomal RNA". It matches the Rfam family "Bacterial small subunit ribosomal RNA", at positions 568 to 774 of the family's 1533-position model. The record is from RNAcentral.